AGUCACUGACAUUAGAUACCCCGGUAGUCCAGGGUGUAAACGCCGCAGACUUGGUGUUGGAAGCCCUUUGGGGGCAUUCAGUGCCGGAGAGAAGUUGUUAAGUCUGCUACUUGGGAGUACGUCCGCAAGGAUGAAACUUAAAGGAAUUGGCGGGGGAGCACCGCAACGGGAGGAGCGUGCGGUUUAAUUGGAUUCAACACCGUAAAACUCACCAGGGAAGACUGUUACAUGAAGGCCGAGAUGAAGACUCUGCUAGAUUUUCAG
Molecule: ribosomal RNA, 264 nt
Filed under: uncultured archaeon
Lineage: Archaea
Description: partial 16S ribosomal RNA
Rfam family: Archaeal small subunit ribosomal RNA
Source: RNAcentral